RNAcentral lists this ribosomal RNA (161 nucleotides) under uncultured bacterium. RNAcentral describes it as "partial 16S rRNA". It matches the Rfam family "Bacterial small subunit ribosomal RNA", at positions 358 to 511 of the family's 1533-position model. The record is from RNAcentral.
GGAAUCUUCCACAAUGGACGAAAGUCUGAUGGAGCAACGCCGCGUGAGUGAAGAAGGGUUUCGGCUCGUAAAACUCUGUUGUUAGAGAAGAACAUAUCUGAGAGUAACUGUUCAGGUAUUGACGGUAUUUAACCAGAAAGCCACGGCUAACUACGUGCCAG